AGCUGGAGAUGCAGUCGAAAAAACGCAUGCAGCGGGCAAGACAAGACCAGGACCUGUGAGCAAAGUUGUCCGCUUUGCAUGGGACUCGGGAAGAACCGGGGCAGAACCAGGGCUUAACCUCAGAAGUCGUUGGGAGACUAGCAUGUCACAGCUGAAGGUCUAACACAGUUAGCGAUGAGAAGAUGCUGGAGCAGAGGAAGUGCCAGUGCCAGAAAACAAGGAGUGCUCACAGGGAGAUGAAUGAAGCCUGGAAACCUUUGCCUUCCACCUUGUGCAGCCACUGUCCUGCAUCUAAUUCCAAGUGUUCUCCUGCAGCUUGGUAUUUAAUAAACUGUGUCAUCUA
Molecule: long non-coding RNA, 343 nt
Organism: Gymnogyps californianus (California condor)
Lineage: Eukaryota; Metazoa; Chordata; Aves; Accipitriformes; Cathartidae
Exons: 2
Source: RefSeq, a predicted model, not a curated record